Molecule: ribosomal RNA, 511 nt
Filed under: Veillonella atypica
Lineage: Bacteria; Bacillati; Bacillota; Negativicutes; Veillonellales; Veillonellaceae
Description: bacterial SSU rRNA
Rfam family: Bacterial small subunit ribosomal RNA
Source: RNAcentral
GACGAACGCUGGCGGCGUGCUUAACACAUGCAAGUCGAACGAAGAGCGAUGGAAGCUUGCUUCUAUCAAUCUUAGUGGCGAACGGGUGAGUAACGCGUAAUCAACCUGCCCUUCAGAGGGGGACAACAGUUGGAAACGACUGCUAAUACCGCAUACGAUCCAAUCUCGGCAUCGAGACUGGAUGAAAGGUGGCCUCUAUUUAUAAGCUAUCACUGAAGGAGGGGAUUGCGUCUGAUUAGCUAGUUGGAGGGGUAACGGCCCACCAAGGCGAUGAUCAGUAGCCGGUCUGAGAGGAUGAACGGCCACAUUGGGACUGAGACACGGCCCAGACUCCUACGGGAGGCAGCAGUGGGGAAUCUUCCGCAAUGGACGAAAGUCUGACGGAGCAACGCCGCGUGAGUGAUGACGGCCUUCGGGUUGUAAAGCUCUGUUAAUCGGGACGAAUGGUUCUUGUGCGAAUAGUGCGAGGAUUUGACGGUACCGGAAUAGAAAGCCACGGCUAACUACGUGC